Molecule: microRNA, 20 nt
Filed under: Zea mays
Lineage: Eukaryota; Viridiplantae; Streptophyta; Magnoliopsida; Poales; Poaceae
Description: zma-miR164d-3p
Gene: zma-miR164d-3p
Source: miRBase by way of RNAcentral
CACGUGGUCUCCUUCUCCAU